AUUGAACGCUGGCGGCAGGCCUAACACAUGCAAGUCGAACGGUAACAGAAAGCAGCUUGCUGCUUUGCUGACGAGUGGCGGACGGGUGAGUAAUGUCUGGGAAACUGCCUGAUGGAGGGGGAUAACUACUGGAAACGGUAGCUAAUACCGCAUAACGUCGCAAGACCAAAGAGGGGGACCUUCGGGCCUCUUGCCAUCGGAUGUGCCCAGAUGGGAUUAGCUAGUAGGUGGGGUAAAGGCUCACCUAGGCGACGAUCCCUAGCUGGUCUGAGAGGAUGACCAGCCACACUGGAACUGAGACACGGUCCAGACUCCUACGGGAGGCAGCAGUGGGGAAUAUUGCACAAUGGGCGCAAGCCUGAUGCAGCCAUGCCGCGUGUAUGAAGAAGGCCUUCGGGUUGUAAAGUACUUUCAGCGGGGAGGAAGGGAGUAAAGUUAAUACCUUUGCUCAUUGACGUUACCCGAAGAAGAAGCACCGGCUAACUCCGUG
Molecule: ribosomal RNA, 490 nt
Filed under: uncultured bacterium
Lineage: Bacteria
Description: partial 16S ribosomal RNA
Rfam family: Bacterial small subunit ribosomal RNA
Source: RNAcentral